AGUCCUCAGAGGUCACUGCAGAAAAAGCAGGCCCCAAUGUGCAGUGGAAGCUCUCCUCACCUGUGUUUGAUCACACUUGUGCCUGCAGGCCCUCUCGGUGGAUUACCAGAGCGGAGUCCUGUCCCUGAGCCUGCAGUGGAUUCCAGAGGUGUGAGUGGAGUUGAGUGGGAUCCAGCUUCCCAGCUGAGCUUCAGGACUGAAGCCCCAGCAACUCGUAUGGGUCCUGAGAGAUUGAGAAAGACACGGGAAAGAGGAAAAUAUCCCCAGACGCUGUCCCAUAUGCUAAUGAGAAUCAUGAAGGACAAGGCAGCGCAUGGUGUGGAUGGUGAAGGACAUGCGAAUGCCACAGAAGAUGAAGAUCUACUGAAGUACUGCCUUGCACUUACUGCGGCUCUCCUGGUUUCCAUGCUGGCAGCGAUGAUUACGUUCUGUCUUGUUAUCCGGCGAUGUAGGCAGAGAAACCAGUGAGUUGUUGUUCACCCCCAUCCCCAUCCUGCCCAUCUCUUUACUAUAGGGCUGCUAUAAAAAAGCUAUAUAAAAGCCAGGAGGCAUUUCUAGUUAAAGCAGCGUGGAGAGGCCAGUUAGUUGUUGGCUUACAUGGUCUGAGAUUUACACUGUCAGAUGUUUUAAUUGGCCUUGCCAUUCCUGCAUCCUGUCUUUACUGCUAGGCCUGAGACAGGCUGGGAGCUGAGGGUGGCUCUUUGCCAUGUGCUGUGAGGAAGAAGAGCAGGGGCUUUCAUGUGCCCUCAGCACAUUUCUCUCUCCGCAGGCACCUUGCUGCAGCUGCCGGAGCCUGGCCCGAUGCCCACGGCCACAACUCGCACUUGGAUGGACGGCCUGCUCACCUCAAGGUGCCCGACCGACAGACACAGCAUGGACAGCCACCACCUGUGCAGGGACAACCUGCCCUCCUGCCGCAGAGCCCCACCAGAGCAGACUCUGCUGGGCCAGACAGCUGCCAGGCUCAGUUGCCCCCGCCUCAGACUCCACAGCCCACCAGCC
Molecule: long non-coding RNA, 1002 nt
Filed under: Chrysolophus pictus (golden pheasant)
Lineage: Eukaryota; Metazoa; Chordata; Aves; Galliformes; Phasianidae
Description: lncRNA (ENSCPIG00010012836.1)
Source: RNAcentral